CACGGAGUUAGCCGAUGCUUUUUCUUCGGAUACACGCAGUCCGGGACACGUCCCGGGUUUUGUUCUCCGACAAAAGAGGUUUACAACCCAUAGGGCCGUCUUCCCUCACGCGGCUUGGCUGGUUCAGGAUCUCUCCCAUUGACCAAUAUUCCUCACUGCUGCCUCCCGUAGGAGUCUGGUCCGUGUCUCAGUACCAGUAUGGGGGACCUUCCUCUCAGAACCCCUACGCAUCGUCGCCACGGUGGGCCGUUACCCCGCCGUCAAGCUAAUGCGCCGCAUGCCCAUCCUCUUCCGAUGAAUCUUUCCUCGAUCUCGGAUGCCCGAAACCGAUAUACGCGGGAUUAGCCUCCCUUUCGGAAGGUUGUCCCCCUGAAGAGGGCAGGUUGCAUACGUGUUACUCACCCGUGCGCCGGUCGCCGGCAAGGAAAGCAAGCUUCCCUCCCGAUGCCCCUCGACUUGCAUGUGUUAAGCCUGCCGCUAGCGUUCAUCCUGAGCCAGGAUCAAACUC
This 508-nucleotide ribosomal RNA is filed under the name uncultured Bacteroidales bacterium. RNAcentral describes it as "partial 16S ribosomal RNA". The record is from RNAcentral. Lineage: Bacteria; Pseudomonadati; Bacteroidota; Bacteroidia; Bacteroidales.